This 253-nucleotide ribosomal RNA is filed under the name uncultured prokaryote. RNAcentral's name for it is "partial 16S ribosomal RNA". It matches the Rfam family "Bacterial small subunit ribosomal RNA", at positions 524 to 776 of the family's 1533-position model. The record is from RNAcentral.
GACAGAGGGUGCAAACGUUGCUCGGAAUUACUGGGCGUAAAGCGCGUGUAGGCGGACUGGUGUGUCGGAUGUGAAAUCCCCAGGCUCAACCUGGGAACUGCAUUCGAAACUGCCAGCCUUGAGUGGUGGAGAGGGAAGUGGAAUUCCUGGUGUAGAGGUGAAAUUCGUAGAUAUCGUAAGGAAUACCAGAGGCGAAGGCGGCUACCUGGACAAUUGCUGACGCUCAGGCACGAAAGCGUGGGGAGCAAAAGGG